GAAAGGCACCCCUUGCCGAUUCUCCUUCCUGCUCAGUGGCCUUGUAAACCCUCUGGGGAUUGGCUUUGGAGGGCCCGUGUUCAUGCUCAACAAUUGCUGUACUGCCGAGCUGUGCCCAGAGCCCAGGAAGCCUUCCGGCUGCUGCCUGCCCUCUCCUGGGAACCUCAGCUCAAGGACGAUGUCUGCAUCCCUGCUCUUUAUUAUCUCUGGUGCCUGAGGAGUGCCUAGCAGCACAGGUAUCCAGAUACCUGCAGGUCUCUGUAGUCUCCACACGGAAUCCAGUUUCCCUGCUGACCCUUUCGUCUCCACUGCUCUGGGCAGGGGCCGGGAGUCAUGAUGUGAAAGC
RNAcentral lists this long non-coding RNA (346 nucleotides) under Rattus norvegicus (Norway rat). RNAcentral describes it as "long non-coding RNA NONRATT031411". The record is from RNAcentral. Lineage: Eukaryota; Metazoa; Chordata; Mammalia; Rodentia; Muridae.